GAUGAGAAGGUUGGUCGUUCUGCAAUGAUGAUGAAAUUACAAACACAAAAACACAUAAAACUAAAGAUCCCUUUACGCUCCAUUCUCAAACUAAAGAGUCAGCCAUCAACACAAAUUUGUUGGAUGACUGCGUCUGCUCCUACACGUCCAUCCAUCCUAUAUGUAAAAGGCAACCAGGUAUUGGCAGAUAUUGGAUACUGGAAGAGUCUCUCCCAGU
Caenorhabditis elegans is the source of this 217-nucleotide non-coding RNA. The record is from Ensembl. NCBI's taxonomy places the organism in Eukaryota, Metazoa, Nematoda, Chromadorea, Rhabditida, Rhabditidae.